RNAcentral lists this transfer RNA (87 nucleotides) under Gammaproteobacteria bacterium. RNAcentral describes it as "tRNA-Ser". It matches the Rfam family "tRNA". Rfam says of the family: Transfer RNA (tRNA) molecules are approximately 80 nucleotides in length. Their secondary structure includes four short double-helical elements and three loops (D, anti-codon, and T loops). Lineage: Bacteria; Pseudomonadati; Pseudomonadota; Gammaproteobacteria. The record is from RNAcentral. RNAcentral also lists the same sequence under 3 other names.
GGAGAGGUGGCAGAGUGGUCGAAUGCGGAGGUCUUGAAAACCUCUGACGGUUUACGCCGUCCGUGGGUUCGAAUCCCACCCUCUCCG